This 253-nucleotide ribosomal RNA is filed under the name uncultured bacterium. RNAcentral describes it as "partial 16S ribosomal RNA". It matches the Rfam family "Bacterial small subunit ribosomal RNA", at positions 524 to 776 of the family's 1533-position model. The record is from RNAcentral.
UACAGGGGGUGCAAACGUUGUUCGGAAUUAUUGGGCGUAAAGCGCACGUAGGCGGUUCGGUAUGUCAGAUGUGAAAGCCCUUGGCUCAACUGAGGAAGGGCAUCUGAAACUGGCGAGCCAGAGUAUGGAAGAGGGUCGCGGAAUUCCCGGUGUAGAGGUGAAAUUCGUAGAUAUCGGGAGGAACACCGGUGGCGAAGGCGGCGACCUGGGACAAUACUGACGCUGAGGUGCGAAAGCGUGGGGAGCAAACAGG